Small nuclear RNA from Nannospalax galili (Upper Galilee mountains blind mole rat), 172 nucleotides. Its record names the gene U1. It matches the Rfam family "U1 spliceosomal RNA". Rfam says of the family: U1 is a small nuclear RNA (snRNA) component of the spliceosome (involved in pre-mRNA splicing). Lineage: Eukaryota; Metazoa; Chordata; Mammalia; Rodentia; Spalacidae. The record is from Ensembl.
AUACUUACCUGCCAGGGGACAUACCAGGAUCACGAAGGUGGUUUUUCCACGGUGAGGCUCAUCCAUUGUGCUCUGGGUGUGCCAACCCCUACGAUUUCCCCAAACGCAGGAAACUCGACUGCAUAAUUUGUGUGUGUGUGGGGAAGGGACUGCGUUUGCAUGCUCCCCCAAA